Long non-coding RNA from Panthera uncia (snow leopard), 1197 nucleotides. RefSeq lists it as uncharacterized. NCBI's taxonomy places the organism in Eukaryota, Metazoa, Chordata, Mammalia, Carnivora, Felidae. The transcript has 2 exons. The record is from RefSeq and is a predicted model, not a curated record.
AAAGGGGGUCCUCCUGUUCCCACUCGGGCGCUGGUUCUUCUGGAAGCCGCUCAGCGGUACGUGACCCGCGUUUCCGCUCACACCUUUCACAAAGGCCUGGCGGAGGAAGCGAACGCUCUGUGUUUUCGACGAAAGAGAUGAACUGAAUUCCAAACACCUCUCACCAAGGACACCCCUCAGAAGAGCGAAGGCAAGAAAGAAAUGCGGCGAAUCUAGGGAUUCCAUUGCCAUUUCAUUGAUGGUCGUCUUGUUGCCGGAGGGCUUCUGGCAAAGUACUGACGCCUACUUUAAAGAAAUCCGGAUUCAACACCAACGGAGAAGGGGCAGAAGACAGAGGAGGCCACACAGGAGGCGGGGAGACCAGGUUUAGCUGUAAAAAGCCAAACGUCAACGUCGCAUGUUUGUCUCUCUCGUAUAGGUCACAAUGCGUCCUAGGAUGACUCGUUUUUAGUGCAAAACAAUGUCCGCUUUCAACGUGCAGUCUUUGAGAGGGUGUGAAGAGGACUCUCAAGUCUCUCACAGACGCCGGCUGACAAACGGGGGUUCUCGCGGCAGAAGCUGGGGUGACCCACGCACCACGCCGACGACGUGAGCUUUCGGAGUCCCAGCGCGGGACGCAGACACGUCCCGCAAGUUGCUCGCUCAGCUGAAGCGACACCUGCAGACGCUGCCUGGAAUACGCCUGUUCAUUUGCAGCUUGGUGGAAACAGGUUCAAGAGAAUAAAAACGAAAUCGAGAGUGUGGAGACAGCGAGCCCCGAAUCCCGCUGCCUCAGAACACGGCACGAGCCCCUUGGGCGGUGCUGCCACCCCCGCCGAGCGGGCUCACGGGGACGUCAGGCGGCCCGCAGGGGUGCUUCCGUCUGUGAACGGAUUCCCGCGCAGGGAGCCAGAGGCAACGUGCACGCGCGUGGGGUGAAAUGCACGCGGGUUAUCUUACCUCUCACUUCCCACCCGACUCAUCGGCUGCCACCCUGGGACCACACCCGGACUACAGCAAGAGCAGUGUUGGGAACUGCCAGUUAUGCAACCGGCCCACCGGCAGGAAAGAUGCUGCUUCUAACAACAAAUGUCCUGUCCCGACGCAGCCCAGGACUAACUUUUCCAUGGACCCAGACAUUUUACACCCAGAAGAAGGGAACAUUCACAGUUGCAGAACUGUGAGUACUUGCAGUUAAAUAAAGGUAACACUGCCCAA